Molecule: ribosomal RNA, 288 nt
Filed under: uncultured bacterium
Lineage: Bacteria
Description: partial 16S ribosomal RNA
Rfam family: Bacterial small subunit ribosomal RNA
Source: RNAcentral
GGCCGAUAUCAGAUUAGGUAGUUGGUGAGGUAAAGGCUCACCAAGCCAACGAUCUGUAGCUGGUCCUGAGAGGACGACCAGCCACACUGGAACUGAGACACGGUCCAGACUCCUACGGGAGGCAGCAGUGGGGAAUUUUGGACAAUGGACGCAAGUCUGAUCCAGCCAUUCCGCGUGCAGGAUGAAGGCCCUCGGGUUGUAAACUGCUUUUGUACGGAACGAAAAGGUUUGUCUUAAUACGAUGAGCUCAUGACGGUACCGUAAGAAUAAGCACCGGCUAACUACGUG